AGCGGCGAACGGGUGAGUAACACGUGAGCAACCUGCCCCACAGACCGGGAUAGCCCAGGGAAACCUGGAUUAAUACCGGAUACCCUCUCAAGACCUCCUGGUCAUGAGAGGAAAAGCCUUUGUGCUGUGGGAUGGGCUCGCGGCUUAUCAGCUAGUUGGUGGGGUAACGGCCUACCAAGGCAUCGACGAGUAGCUGGUCUGAGAGGACGAUCAGCCACACUGGAACUGAGACACGGUCCAGACUCCUACGGGAGGCAGCAGCAGGGAAUCUUGCGCAAUGGGCGAAAGCCUGACGCAGCGACACCGCGUGGGGGAUGAAGGCCUUCGGGUUGUAAACCCCUUUCAGGAGGGAAGAAAUUGACGGUACCUCCAAAAGAAGGACCGGCCAACUACGUGCCAGCAGCCGCGGUAAUACGUAGGGUCCUAGCGUUAUCCGGAAUCAUUGGGCGUAAAGAGCUCGUAGGCGGUUCAGCAAGUCGGCUGUGAAAGUCCGAGGCUCAACCUCGGAAUUGCAGUCGAUACUGCUGUGACUUGAAUUCGGUAGAGGAGAAUGGAAUUCCCGGUGUAGCGGUGAAAUGCGCAGAUAUCGGGAGGAACACCAGUAGCGAAGGCGGUUCUCUGGGCCGAUAUUGACGCUGAGGAGCGAAAGCGUGGGGAGCAAACAGGAUUAGAUACCCUGGUAGUCCACGCCGUAAACGUUGGAUACUAGGUGUGGCGGUCUUACCAACGACUGCCGUGCCGAAGCUAACGCAUUAAGUAUCCCGCCUGGGGAGUACGGCCGCAAGGCUAAAACUCAAAU
Molecule: ribosomal RNA, 799 nt
Filed under: uncultured bacterium
Lineage: Bacteria
Description: bacterial SSU rRNA
Rfam family: Bacterial small subunit ribosomal RNA
Source: RNAcentral